UACGUAGGGAGCAAGCGUUGUCCGGAUUCACUGGGUGUAAAGGGUGCGCAGGCGGGUUGGUAAGUCAGAGGUGAAAGCUCACGGCUCAACCGUGAAACUGCCUUUGAAACUACCAAUCUUGAGUUCGGGAGAGGUCGAUGGAAUUCCAGGUGUAGCGGUGAAAUGCGUAGAUAUCUGGAAGAACACCAGUAGCGAAGGCG
This 200-nucleotide ribosomal RNA is filed under the name uncultured bacterium. RNAcentral's name for it is "partial 16S ribosomal RNA". It matches the Rfam family "Bacterial small subunit ribosomal RNA", at positions 524 to 723 of the family's 1533-position model. The record is from RNAcentral.